GACGAACGCUGGCGGCGCGCCUAACACAUGCAAGUCGAACGGAGCUUAGAGAGCUUGCUUUUUAAGCUUAGUGGCGAACGGGUGAGUAACGCGUGAGUAACCUGCCCUAGAGUGGGGGACAACAGUUGGAAACGACUGCUAAUACCGCAUAAGCCCACGGUACCGCAUGGCACUGAGGGAAAAGGAUUUAUUCGCUUUAGGAUGGACUCGCGUCCAAUUAGCUAGUUGGUGAGGUAACGGCCCACCAAGGCGACGAUUGGUAGCCGGACUGAGAGGUUGAACGGCCACAUUGGGACUGAGACACGGCCCAGACUCCUACGGGAGGCAGCAGUGGGGGAUAUUGCACAAUGGGGGAAACCCUGAUGCAGCGACGCCGCGUGGAGGAAGAAGGUUUUCGGAUUGUAAACUCCUGUCGUUAGGGACG
RNAcentral lists this ribosomal RNA (424 nucleotides) under uncultured bacterium. Its description in RNAcentral is "bacterial SSU rRNA". It matches the Rfam family "Bacterial small subunit ribosomal RNA", at positions 28 to 447 of the family's 1533-position model. The record is from RNAcentral.